Molecule: RNA transcript, 2705 nt
Organism: Aphidius gifuensis
Lineage: Eukaryota; Metazoa; Arthropoda; Insecta; Hymenoptera; Braconidae
Gene name: equilibrative nucleoside transporter 1-like
Exons: 10
Source: RefSeq, a predicted model, not a curated record
AGAUGGUCAUAACCAAGAAGACUAGAGACCUAAUUACAUACAUCUAAUUAGGUCUCUAGUCUUCUUGGUCAUAACUGACAAUAACUCAUAAAGUUUUCAAUAAAAAAAAUAAAGAGAAAUAGUUUAAUUAAAAAUAAUCAACAAUUUUAACUAAAAUGAUAACAUUGAUAUUUUUUUGAUCUGUCACAAAACUCAGCAAAAUGGAGUAAUGGAGUAAUGGAGUAGUUAAAAUAAUAAUCUAGUCUGAUGAUGAUUCCAACGGUAAAGAUGGUUUUUUGGUUAUAAACGAUCUUUAUCUUGAUCCACCAAAUAUCAGAAUGAACCUUCUUUACUUGACCAUGGUACUUCAUAUGUCCUAGAACAUGUUUUUAAAUGCAAAUGAGUAUUUUUAAGAUGUCAAGUUCAAAGGGCAAUCAAUAUUAUAAAUCUAAUUACAUGUUUUAUCUCACAUUGACUGUUCAACUGCCAAAUUUAUUUUUCAAUUGGUUUGAUCUAUUCUUUUCAACUGGAGGAAAAAUUGGCAAGAGAAUUGUUUGGGGUUUAGUUGUUGAAGCUGUUAUAUUUUUAUUCACAAUUGGAAUGGCCAUGGAUGAUACUAAAAAUCAAACAACAUUAUUUUUUUGGAUUACAAUGGGAUCUGUUUUUCUUUUAAAUACUACGAAUGGUAUUUAUCAAAAUUCUGUAUAUGGUAUGGCUGCAAAACUACCUGGUAAAUAUACUGGAGCUAUUACUUUAGGAUCGAGUGCAUUUAUUGUGGCAGUAUUAAAUAUUUGGAUACGUCAGUGUGUCAGUCACAUCGUCAAUGUCAUAACAAAAGUAAGACAAGAUGGAAAAGCAAGUGAUGGUGAUUUUAUGACUAGUAUUUUUCAACAACUAGCGAUACCAGCAUUUAAAUUAGCUCGCAUGUAUGUAAUUCAAAAACUUUUUACAUUUACUUAUGUAUAUACACUGUCAUGUGUAGGACAAAGAGUAACAAUGAAAUUUCGUCAAGAUUUGGUAAAACUGUUGCAAUUGUUGAAUCAAGUGGUAAUGGUAAAUCAACUAUUGCUGCAUUAUUAGAACGAAUGUAUGAUGUUACUAGUGAAACAAUAAAAAUUGAUGGUGUUGAUAUUAGAACAAUAAAUUCAAGUGAUUUGAGGCGAAAACUUAUGGGUUAUAUUGAUCAAGAGCCAAUUUUAUUUUCAACAAGUAUUAUGUAAAAUAUUAGAUAUGGUUGUUUAGAUGCUACAUUUACCAAUCUUAUAUCACAAUGAUUGGGUUUAUUUUAUUCUUUCAUUAACAAUGGGUCUUUCAAGUGGUUAUUUUUCAUCACUUACCAUGAUGAAUUGUGGAAAAUGUGUUGAACCAGCAUGGAAUUUCAGUCUCUAUUAUCAUUAAAAUUAAUAUUAGAUUAUUAAAUCAAGUUAAAGCACCACCAACAAUACCAACCAGCUAUCAUCAUCUAAUAUAUCAGUAAUUACAAAUAAUAGUAGAAAUUAUGCACAGGAUGUUACAUUAAGAGUUGCUCAUGGAUAACAACUACAAGUGUAUCAAUUACAACUUGUACAACAUCAUUUGCAUUUAAUCAAUGCAAUUAAAAGUGCACUAUGGCAAAUGUUGUUAGAAGUUCUAAUUACGAGGUUCGAGAAACGAUGCUGUUAGUUGAUUUAGUUUAUAAAUAUAAAUCAAUUAUUAAUAACAAAGAAACAGAUGGGAUCAGCAAUAAAUUUAAAGAUGAAUGUUGGACAAAAAUAGAAAAAGAAUUCAAUCAAGGACCAUCUCAAAAUGAAAGUCGACCUAUAUCAUCAUUAAAAAAUAAAUGGUCGAAUUUAAAAAAAGAGGCAAGGUCAUACAGUGCCGGUAUGAAGAGAAUAAAAUACGAAACAGGAGGAGGAAAAAAAAAAUUGUUCACUAAUGAUGUAUUUGAAAAAGUUUUAUCAAUUAUUGGUUUGUCAGCAACUGGUUUUAAUAGUGAAUAUGAUAAUGAUGCUGAACCACUGAAGAAAAAACUAAAACAGAAUGAAGUAAUACCUUGUGUUAAUGAUAUUUUGGAAGAUCAAGAAAAUUCAAUUGAAAACAAUAAAGAUUGCCAAGAAAUUUUUGAUCAUUUAGUUCAUGAAUCAAAAGAAAUACCACUUUGGGAUCGUUGGGAAAAAAAAUCAUCUAAAAAACUAGUCAGCGCUCCUCCAGUCUUCUAUUUCAAAAGUUGUGAAAUUACAUGUAACAGAGAAAAAAAUCCAACUUCCAAAUGGAAGCACAUCCACUUUGAAACAAGUCAAACCCUUGUCUGAAUUGAACAUCAAUAAAAAAAAAAUCAAUGAACGUGAUUUAACUAAUUAUAAAAACUGUGAAAGUAAUAUAUGCACUAAAAGUAUGGCAAAUUACAUAUCAGCUGAUACUUCAUCACAGCCAUCUCUUAAUGCAUCUGUCACUUCACCUGGUCAAGAUAGACACCCCAAUAAUAUCAAGACCCUACACAGCUUGAAAAAAAUAUUACCAGAGGCAACCCCAAAAAUUAAUGAACUUAUUGAUAUGAUGAUUCAUGAAACAAAACAAAAGAUGCCAAUAGAAAUUGAAAUGUUGAAAAUAUCGUUGAGGAAAGAAGAACUUCAAUGCCGAUUAUUGGAGCAGCAAGUUGAAGAAAAUAAAAAAAAAAAUUAAACAAGAUAAAAUAAAAAAAUAGCACCAAAAAAACAUUUUCACAAUACCAGCAUCUCAUUUAUAUU